GCGCUGCUCUGAUUUUUGAGCGUAUCGUUGAUAGCCAAAAUCCUUGCCUCAGCGCUGCUUGUGCUAGCAAUGAGCCACUCAUCCGAUUCCCUUUCCGGCUUCAAAACCGCCAAUUCAAGUCUUGUGGGUAUCCAGGUUUCGAUUUAUCCUGCGAUACUAGCACCAAUCGGACGCUACUGCAGCUACCAUUUUCAGGGAAAUUCAGC
Molecule: unclassified non-coding RNA, 206 nt
Filed under: Hevea brasiliensis (rubber tree)
Lineage: Eukaryota; Viridiplantae; Streptophyta; Magnoliopsida; Malpighiales; Euphorbiaceae
Source: RNAcentral